UUUAUGGAGAGUUUGAUCCUGGCUCAGGAUGAACGCUGGCGGCGUGCCUAAUACAUGCAAGUCGAGCGAACAGAUGAGGAGCUUGCUCCUUUGACGUUAGCGGCGGACGGGUGAGUAACACGUGGGUAACCUACCUAUAAGACUGGAAUAACUCCGGGAAACCGGGGCUAAUGCCGGAUAACAUGUUGAACCGCAUGGUUCAACAGUGAAAGACGGUCUUGCUGUCACUUAUAGAUGGACCCGCGCCGUAUUAGCUAGUUGGUAAGGUAACGGCUUACCAAGGCAACGAUACGUAGCCGACCUGAGAGGGUGAUCGGCCACACUGGAACUGAGACACGGWCCAGACUCCUACGGGAGGCAGCAGUAGGGAAUCUUCCGCAAUGGGCGAAAGCCUGACGGAGCAACGCCGCGUGAGUGAUGAAGGUCUUCGGAUCGUAAAGCUCUGUUGUUAGGGAAGAACAUAUGUGUAAGUAACUGUGCACAUCUUGACGGUACCUAACCAGAAAGCCACGGCUAACUACGUGCCAGCAGCCGCGGUAAUACGUAGGUGGCAAGCGUUAUCCGGAAUUAUUGGGCGUAAAGCGCGCGUAGGCGGUUUUUUAAGUCUGAUGUGAAAGCCCACGGCUCAACCGUGGAGGGUCAUUGGAAACUGGAAAACUUGAGUGCAGAAGAGGAAAGUGGAAUUCCAUGUGUAGCGGUGAAAUGCGCAGAGAUAUGGA
Molecule: ribosomal RNA, 719 nt
Filed under: Staphylococcus hyicus
Lineage: Bacteria; Bacillati; Bacillota; Bacilli; Caryophanales; Staphylococcaceae
Description: bacterial SSU rRNA
Source: RNAcentral